This 21-nucleotide microRNA is filed under the name Ciona intestinalis (vase tunicate). Its description in RNAcentral is "Cin-Mir-4015-P2_5p* (star (passenger))". Lineage: Eukaryota; Metazoa; Chordata; Ascidiacea; Phlebobranchia; Cionidae. The record is from RNAcentral.
ACAAUGAAAUUAACCUUCUCU